GUGAGUCAUCGAAUCUUUGAACGCACAUUGCGCCCGCCAGUAUUCUGGCGGGCAUGCCUGUUCGAGCGUCAUUUCAACCAUCAAGCCCCCGGCUUGUGUUGGGGACCUGCGGCUGCCGCAGGCCCUGAAAUGCAGUGGCGGGCUCGCUGUCACUCCGAGCGUAGUAAUACAUCUCGCUCUGGACGUGCUGCGGGUUCCGGCCGUUAAAAGCCUUAUUUACCCAAGGUUGACCUCGGAUCAGGUAGGAAGACCCGCUGAACUUAAGCAUAUCAAUAAGCGGAGGA
Molecule: unclassified non-coding RNA, 284 nt
Filed under: Chaetomiaceae sp.
Lineage: Eukaryota; Fungi; Ascomycota; Sordariomycetes; Sordariales; Chaetomiaceae
Description: partial contains 5.8S ribosomal RNA, internal transcribed spacer 2, and large subunit ribosomal RNA
Rfam family: 5.8S ribosomal RNA (bases 1-71)
Source: RNAcentral